AUUGAACGCUGGCGGCAGGCCUAACACAUGCAAGUCGAACGAGUGGCGGACGGGUGAGUAAUGUCUGGGAAACUGCCCGAUGGAGGGGGAUAACUACUGGAAACGGUAGCUAAUACCGCAUACCAUCGGAUGUGCCCAGAUGGGAUUAGCUAGUAGGUGGGGUAACGGCUCACCUAGGACACGAUCCCUAGCUGGUCUGAGAGGAUGACCAGCCACACUAGGACGUAGACACGGUCCAGACUGCUACUGGUGGAAAAAGUGGGGAAUAGUGCACAAUGGGCGCAAGCCUGAUGCAGGCAUGCCGCGUGUAUGAAGAAGGCCGUCGGGUGGUAAAGUACUUUCAGCGAGGAGACGUUACUCGCAGAAGAAGCACCGGCUAACUCCGUGCCAGCAGCCGCGGUAAUAC
This 406-nucleotide ribosomal RNA is filed under the name uncultured bacterium. RNAcentral's name for it is "partial 16S ribosomal RNA". It matches the Rfam family "Bacterial small subunit ribosomal RNA", at positions 30 to 526 of the family's 1533-position model. The record is from RNAcentral.